UAUCAAGAAAGAAAAAAAAAAAUUCGAACUCAUUUUCUUCUGUUCCCGUGUACACGUCAUUGUUUUCGUCCCAAGAGAAUAGAGAUGUGUUUUAUUUGAGCAGCGGGGAUGAAUGGAGCAAAGGUCGGUUUGUGAGUUUGUUUUGAGUGUUCCCAAAUUCUUCACAAAAUCAAGGACGUCCAUUGAUUUCUGUCGUCAAGAGACAAGGGCCGGCCACACCAGGCCACGACAAUAACAACUCUCUAUCUCUAAGGCAGGACAUUUGAGCAGAAUCUAACAUUCUUGCAAUGGAUAUUUCAUAAAUUCUUUCCUAUAAUCUCCCAUAAGAAUCCGGGUUGUUCAGAAACAUUUAAAAACACUCAUGAUAUUUGGCGUGAAAUUGCCCGUUUCAGAUUUAACGGGAGCAGAAAAGCACUCAAAAAAAAAAAAAGUGCAGUAAUUCUCUGCCACGGAUUUGGACACUUUGCAGUAGUUUUUCACAGCUUUAAAGCUUCUAGACCCCCGAGACAAAGAAGAUUAGUGUGUUGAGGUGGCCCAACCAUCAGCAAUAAACACCGCAAAGAGGAUUUCGUACAGCGAGUGCUGGUUUAGUAAACAGGGGUGAGCUGGUAAAGAUCCAGCAGAGCCAUAAGAUGUCUGUGGCAAGUCUUUAUCAGAUUAAUGGCACAUGGUGGUGGGGGUACACAAAGGGAAAGGGGAAAAAGACAGUCGGAGACAAAGCAAAGCAAACUUACAAAAAAUAAAUAAGUACAAAAUUCAUUCUGACAAGAAAAUUGCACGGAUUUCAACUGUGGUUUAAUAAGCGAAUAAUUUGAUUCAUUUAGUUCAUUCAGUAAAGGGAUACUUUAGAAGGACCCAUUCUGUGUUUGCUUUCGUGCGCAGGUUUGCCCCUGCACUACAUUUAUUCGCAGGCAUAUUUAUCACCACUGCUUAUUUAAUUCUGCCAACGGAAAUGUCUGACACUGUAUCGGUGACCGAGAAAAAUUAGCAUUUGAGUGACAUUUUGAGAAUCAGCCUUAAAAAUUUUACAAAAUUAGACACAAAUCAGUUAUGUUAUGUGAAAUGUGUUAUAGCGCAGUCUCGAUUAAAGUUGAAAAAGAUUUUUUUUUUAAAUGCAAAAAGUCAAGUAAAAAGGGGUUUUAUAUACACUUGGAAUUCUGAACACUAAAUAAAUAUGUUAAAUAAACGCUAAAUGUAUAAAAACAACGUGCCGAAAAGAAAGAACGAAAACAGAGAGAGAGGGUGCUCUGAAAAGAACAUUGCCUGGGUUUCGGCGAAAUGCUUAACUUUUCUAAGAAUUGUUUCUUUUUUAUAGGAUGGAGCAUUCCAGCUUCAAUUUCCAUGCGUACAUGUGGACACUUAACUCCAGAUUGCUGGAGGGAACAGAUUGUGCACUUUAAGAACGUGAAGUAUGCAGAAGCCUUGAUCUGAGGGGACAGUUACACUACCUUACUCUCAAGAGGCCUUAAAGAGACAUGAAGCUCUGAUGUACAAUAUGUACAGCCCAUCCGUCACACUUUCGUUGGAAGAAGUGUCCGUGAGUUCGCGUAUAACAGCGGAAAGUGUUUACAUAAUGAAUUAAACGUCCCCGAGAGGGGAUGCGGUAAAUUUGAAGGACUAAGAAUACGUUUUGGGUUGUUGUUGGGGUUUUUUUUCCAAAAAAAGAGAUACGAACACGGACGUGAGCGAGCAUGCAUUUGUGUGAGAAUUUGAAUUUCCUAAAACGGGUCGCUCGGUCUCUCUAGGAAAAGUAAAUUUGUUAAUUUUGGGCAGGGUGAUAGAGAGCCGCCCACGCACAGCCUCUAGGGAACAGCAAGCUGUGUUGUAUCUCUGGAAAAUUCCAUGAAAUCUCACAAUAAACCCUGCUUUUCAACAAGCGUGACGUCACAGGACCGGGCUUGUUUAUGUGAAGUUAAAAAGAGGGACACCAUCACAAUGUGACAUUAAUGUUCCCGUUUCCUCUUGAGGAGAGAUGGAGGCAGCAAAGGAGGGUUCACUGAGGACGUUUAGGCUUGAUACAGAUCUGCUGCCCAGAGGAAGGGAUUCCAGUUGGAAACUGAAAAUGCUGCAGACUGAAAGAUAAGAAUACACCUCUUUCUAGUGGGAAUGUCCGGUCGAAAAUAUGCGGCUUAUGUUUGUACAUCUAAAGAAAAAAAAGAAUGGAAUGAAUAAUUAAGUUCAUGCAGGAAAAUACAUCUUGUGUGGAAAGUAUACAAACUGACACAAAGCUAUCAAUGUGCAUUAAAUAAUAUUAAGUUAUUUCUAAUGUCAAUGUUUAAUUUUAAAAGUACAUAAUUUUAGUGUGUAUAACUAUGUAUAUAAAACAAAAAUACUAUUAUUACAUAAAAUUAAUUUAUAAAA
This is a long non-coding RNA of Puntigrus tetrazona (Sumatra barb), 2361 nucleotides long. RefSeq lists it as uncharacterized. The transcript is spliced from 3 exons. The record is from RefSeq and is a predicted model, not a curated record. Lineage: Eukaryota; Metazoa; Chordata; Actinopteri; Cypriniformes; Cyprinidae.